GGGGAUGUAGCUCAAUGGUAGAGCGUGUGCUUUACAUGGAUGAGGUCCUGGGUUCAAUCCCCAGCAUCUCCA
This is a non-coding RNA of Sphaeramia orbicularis (orbiculate cardinalfish), 72 nucleotides long. The record is from the annotation of a RefSeq genome assembly. NCBI's taxonomy places the organism in Eukaryota, Metazoa, Chordata, Actinopteri, Kurtiformes, Apogonidae.